CUUUAACAAUCUGGAACAAGCUGAAAAUUGAAAACAACGCAUAUUGUUUAUCGCUUAAACAAUGUGAGAGUCUCUCAAAAAUCUCAACUUGAAUGUGCUUCUCUGAAGCAUCGA
This is a non-coding RNA of Providencia rettgeri DSM 1131, 114 nucleotides long. Lineage: Bacteria; Pseudomonadati; Pseudomonadota; Gammaproteobacteria; Enterobacterales; Morganellaceae. The record is from Rfam.